This 497-nucleotide ribosomal RNA is filed under the name uncultured bacterium. Its description in RNAcentral is "partial 16S ribosomal RNA". It matches the Rfam family "Bacterial small subunit ribosomal RNA", at positions 28 to 507 of the family's 1533-position model. The record is from RNAcentral.
GAUGAACGCUGGCGGCGUGCCUAAUACAUGCAAGUCGAGCGAACAGACGAUGAGCUUGCUCCUUCGACGUUAGCGGAGGACGGGUGAGUACCACGUAGGUAACAUCCCUAUAAGAAUGGGCUUUCUUCGGGGAAAUGGCGCCAGUAACCGAUGAUAUUUCGCACCGCAUAGUUCUCCUGCGCAUGGUGGCAUUGCUAUCACUUCUGGGUGGAACUGCGCCGUCUUGGCUAGUUGGGAAGGUAACGGCUUACCAAGGCAGCGAUGCGUAGCCGACUUGACAGGGAGAUCGGCCACACGGGAACUGAGAGACGGUCCAGACACCUACGGGAGGCAGCAGUAGGGAAUCUUCCGCAAUGGGCGAAAGCCGGACGGAGCAACGCCGCGGGAGUGAUGAAGGUCUGCGGAUCGGAAAACGCUGUUAUUAGGGAAGAACAAACGUGUAAGUAACUGGGCACAUCUUGACGGUACCAAAGCAGAAAGCCACGGCUAACUACGUG